GGAAAAAUAUUUCUUCCUAGGAUUGUGGGUCAUUCCUUUCCUGAGACAGGGAAUCACUUAAUUCUUUGGACAUAGGUUCUCAUCACAUGGCUUAAAAUCAUCCUCAAUGUCCCUGGUAGCAAAGUUGUUGACCAACACAUGGUCACAGAGGUGAUUCUGCCUGAGGUUGUGAUCCAGUGGCUGCAAACAAACAAGCCGAGACGAUGCUCAUGACUACUACAAGGACAACGAGGGGUAAAGAACGAUUGUGGGUGUACACCUACAUAUACCACAGUCAUUAUAGAAUGCAGUACUGCCUCACCCCCCUUCCCUCUUUUUUUCUUUUAUUUCCAGACUUCAGGAUGUCAAAGAAGACCAAGCUACAGAAAAGGUAAACAGAAAAGGUUUGUUUAACAAAAUAGGUAUUUGAAUGUAAGCUGUUUUUGUCAAAUGUAAAUGGAAAUCUGAUCCCUUAAUGUAGGCUAAAUUAGCAAUCUGUAAUAACAGGUAACGGUGUACACUUAUCCACCUUAUUUAAAACGGAAAUACGGAGACAGUGAGUUGACAUUUUUUGUGCGAGACUUCCUGUAGGUCACUUCCUGUCCCUGUUUAGCUGGCUGAAAAGCGACUCAUGCAGUUACCAAAUUACUCGUCCUUAUGAUUUCGAGGAAGACCAGGAGCAUUUGUCCAGUUACAGGCUGUCUUAAUAACUGGUGUAAAACAAAAGUCUAUGUGGAGCAGGAGUGUUUUAAUCAUCGACCGUGUACAAGAGCUGUUGAUGCGAGGCGCCCCAUUUCCUUUAACACUGAUACUCCGGAAAAAAAAACAAUAGAAAUAAAGUUACAGCUUCAUUCUAAAGCUAACUUACAUUUUAACAUGACAAGCUUGCAUCAAUAGCUUUGAGGCCACAAAUUAGAUUGAUACAGUUGAAAAAUUCUAGCCUUAACAUGAAGUAGGCAUAAAGUUUUGAUAUCCUAUUACAUCAGUUCAAUCACAAACACUUAGCACUGUUAUCUUUGUUAACUGACCAGCAAUCUAAUCACAACGAGGCAACAGCUAGUAUGUUUUUGAAUCAGAUGAUUCAUUAGCCUACCUUCCAUAUGAUCACCGCUUCAUGACUGAAGGACUACC
This is a long non-coding RNA of Fundulus heteroclitus (mummichog), 1110 nucleotides long. RefSeq lists it as uncharacterized. NCBI's taxonomy places the organism in Eukaryota, Metazoa, Chordata, Actinopteri, Cyprinodontiformes, Fundulidae. The record is from RefSeq and is a predicted model, not a curated record. The transcript has 3 exons.